CUCAGUGGUCAAAAUACCACUGCUGGUCAGAAGCACGUUUUUGGACUUGUCAGUGCUUUUGUUGUUGUACCAUCUGGAAGCAUCCAGCAUAUGGCCCAGAGAGGAUCAGCUUUUCAGCCUUUAAUGUAAAGUCUUUCCAUAGAUUUGGGCUAAUCGUAAGAAGCAUAAGUCUCUUGACACAGAAUAGGAAGAACACAGAAAAAAACCCAGUAAUUUCUCUAUUUUUCUACAGGGUCAGAGCACCGUAGGAAAAUUCAGUUUGGAAGAGACCUCAGUUUGGAAGAGACCUUUAGCUCACAGCAGGGCCAACUCUGAUGUCAAGUGAGAUUGCUCAAGUUUAGGUCCUUGCCUCUCAUCUUCCAACCAAUGUGCUACUGCAAAGAAUCUGGAUUAGUCUUCUUGAUUACUACCUCAUAGGUACACAGUGGGCUGCUGAAGACAUUGGAAGGAAAUUUCUAACUAUCAAAGAAGCAAGAUUUUGAAACAACUUUUUGAGGGGACAAGGAAAAAAAUUAGUCACCUUUAAAAAAGAUUUAUAAUCAGUCUAAAUUAAGGAGUAUUAAUCUUGCAAUAAAAGAAGACAAAAUGUAUUGA
Pipra filicauda (Wire-tailed manakin) is the source of this 594-nucleotide long non-coding RNA. RefSeq lists it as uncharacterized. The transcript has 4 exons. The record is from RefSeq and is a predicted model, not a curated record. NCBI's taxonomy places the organism in Eukaryota, Metazoa, Chordata, Aves, Passeriformes, Pipridae.